RNAcentral lists this ribosomal RNA (490 nucleotides) under uncultured bacterium. RNAcentral's name for it is "partial 16S ribosomal RNA". It matches the Rfam family "Bacterial small subunit ribosomal RNA", at positions 30 to 507 of the family's 1533-position model. The record is from RNAcentral.
AUUGAACGCUGGCGGCAGGCCUAACACAUGCAAGUCGAACGGUAACAGGAAGAAGCUUGCUUCUUUGCUGACGAGUGGCGGACGGGUGAGUAAUGUCUGGGAAACUGCCUGAUGGAGGGGGAUAACUACUGGAAACGGUAGCUAAUACCGCAUAACGUCGCAAGACCAAAAAGGGGGACCUUCGGGCCUCUUGCCAUCGGAUGUGCCCAGAUGGGAUUAGCUAGUAGGUUGGGUAACGGCUCACCUAGGCGACGAUCCCUAGCUGGUCUGAGAGGAUGACCAGCCACACUGGAACUGAGACACGGUCCAGACUCCUACGGGAGGCAGCAGUGGGGAAUAUUGCACAAUGGGCGCAAGCCUGAUGCAGCCAUGCCGCGUGUAUGAAGAAGGCCUUCGGGUUGUAAAGUACUUUCAGCGGGGAGGAAGGGAGUAAAGUUAAUACCUUUGCUCAUUGACGUUACCCGCAGAAGAAGCACCGGCUAACUCCGUG